AUUGAACGCUGGCGGCAGGCCUAACACAUGCAAGUCGAGCGGAUGAAGGGAGCUUGCUCCUGGAUUCAGCGGCGGACGGGGAGUAAUGCCUAGGAAUCUGCCUGGUAGUGGGGGAUAACGUCCGGAAACGGGCGCUAAUACCGCAUACGUCCUGAGGGAGAAAGUGGGGGAUCUUCGGACCUCACGCUAUCAGAUGAGCCUAGGUCGGAUUAGCUAGUUGGUGGGGUAAAGGCCUACCAAGGCGACGAUCCGUAACUGGUCUGAGAGGAUGAUCAGUCACACUGGAACUGAGACACGGUCCAGACUCCUACGGGAGGCAGCAGUGGGGAAUAUUGGACAAUGGGCGAAAGCCUGAUCCAGCCAUGCCGCGUGUGUGAAGAAGGUCUUCGGAUUGUAAAGCACUUUAAGUUGGGAGGAAGGGCAGUAAGUUAAUACCUUGCUGUUUUGACGUUACCAACAGAAUAAGCACCGGCUAACUUCG
RNAcentral lists this ribosomal RNA (481 nucleotides) under uncultured bacterium. Its description in RNAcentral is "partial 16S ribosomal RNA". It matches the Rfam family "Bacterial small subunit ribosomal RNA", at positions 30 to 505 of the family's 1533-position model. The record is from RNAcentral.